Molecule: ribosomal RNA, 528 nt
Filed under: uncultured bacterium
Lineage: Bacteria
Description: bacterial SSU rRNA
Rfam family: Bacterial small subunit ribosomal RNA
Source: RNAcentral
AAUAGAUACCCAGGUAGUCCACGCCGUAAACGAUGAGUGCUAAGUGUUAGGGGGUUUCCGCCCCUUAGUGCUGCAGCUAACGCAUUAAGCACUCCGCCUGGGGAGUACGGCCGCAAGGCUGAAACUCAAAGGAAUUGACGGGGGCCCGCACAAGCGGUGGAGCAUGUGGUUUAAUUCGAAGCAACGCGAAGAACCUUACCAGGUCUUGACAUCCUCUGACAACUCUAGAGAUAGAGCGUUCCCCUUCGGGGGACAGAGUGACAGGUGGUGCAUGGUUGUCGUCAGCUCGUGUCGUGAGAUGUUGGGUUAAGUCCCGCAACGAGCGCAACCCUUGAUCUUAGUUGCCAGCAUUCAGUUGGGCACUCUAAGGUGACUGCCGGUGACAAACCGGAGGAAGGUGGGGAUGACGUCAAAUCAUCAUCGCCCUUAUGACCUGGGCUACACACGUGCUACAAGUGGACGGUACAAAGAGUCGCAAGACCGCGAGGUGGAGCUAAUCUCAAUAAACCGUUCUCAGUUCGGAUUGCG